RNAcentral lists this microRNA precursor (74 nucleotides) under Myotis davidii. Its description in RNAcentral is "mir-9193 microRNA precursor family". It matches the Rfam family "mir-9193 microRNA precursor family". The record is from Rfam by way of RNAcentral. Lineage: Eukaryota; Metazoa; Chordata; Mammalia; Chiroptera; Vespertilionidae.
CUCGGGGUGGGGGUGUCCCUCAGCCCAGAUUGCAAGAAAGUGCAAGCCAGGCUGAGGGACCCCACUGGUGCACA